This 132-nucleotide small nucleolar RNA is filed under the name Caenorhabditis briggsae. Its description in RNAcentral is "Cb166 H/ACA snoRNA". It matches the Rfam family "Caenorhabditis snoRNA ceN126". Lineage: Eukaryota; Metazoa; Nematoda; Chromadorea; Rhabditida; Rhabditidae. The record is from RNAcentral.
AAAGCAGUCGUUCAGUGACGCAAGCGAUUUUUCAAUGCGUUUGUGCCUAAUCUUUGACUGCAAGAGAAUCAUUGUCAUAGUCAAGCGGUCCGCUAUCUGUGUAGCAUUCUGUUCAAGAUUUGACUUACAUUU